This 903-nucleotide ribosomal RNA is filed under the name Oryza minuta. RNAcentral's name for it is "eukaryotic LSU rRNA". It matches the Rfam family "Eukaryotic large subunit ribosomal RNA", at positions 26 to 957 of the family's 3401-position model. Lineage: Eukaryota; Viridiplantae; Streptophyta; Magnoliopsida; Poales; Poaceae. The record is from RNAcentral.
UGCUGAGUUGAAGCAUAUAAAUAACGGCGAGCGAACUGGGAGAUGCCCAGCUUGAGAAUCGGGAGAUGCCCAGCUUGAGAAUCGGGCGGCCGCACCGUUCGAAUUGUAGUCUAGAGAGGCAUCCUCAGCGAUGGACCGGGCCCAAGUCUCCUGGAAAGGGGCGCCUGGAAGGGUGAGAGCCUCGUCCGGCCCUUACCCUGUCGCCUCAUGAGGCACCAUCAACAAGUUAGGUUGUUUGAGAAUGCAGCCCAAAUCGGGCGAUAAACUCUGUCCAAGGCUAAAUACAAGCGAGAGACCGAUAGCGAACAAGUACCGCGAGGGAAAGAUGAAAAGGACUUUGAAAAGAGAGUCAAAGAGUGCGUGAAAUUAACGGGAGGAAAGCGGAUGGGGGCUGGUGAUGUGCCCUCGCCGUAUGCGGGACAACUUCAGCUGGUCCGCCAAUCGGAUUAGGGCGUGGACAGUUGUCGGCCACGUCGGCGGCCAAAGCCCGGGGGCUCGCACCCCUCGUAGCCGUCGUCGGCGUUACGGUCACCGCGCGCUUCUGUCGUGCCCCUCGGGGUGCCACGCUGCAGCGGCCUGCGGGCUCCCCAUCUGACCCGUCUUGAAACACGGACUAAGGAGUCUGACAUGCGUGCGAGUUAACGGGUUCUGAAACCCGGGAUGUGGAAGGAAGUUGACGAGCGGGAGGCCCGCACAGGCCGCACCCCUGGCCAACCCUGAUCUUAUGUGAAGGGUUCGAGUUGGAGCACGCCUGGCGGGACCCGAAAGAUGGUGAACUAUGCCUAAUUGGGGCGAAGCCAGAGGAAACUCUAGUGGAGGCUCAAAGCGAUAGUGAUGUGCAAAUCGUUCAUCUGGCUUGGGUAUAGGGGCGAAAGACUAAUCGAACCAUCUAGUAGCUGGUUC